UAUAACAAAAAUUGCAUUCAAAAUCAAUAAUUAAAGAUUAGACUUUCUUGAAAUAAAUCUAUGAUACAUUUUUUCUGAUAAUUAGAGAUUUACAAAACAUCCAUAAACAAACUAUGUAUCAUUAAAAUUUCUUCAAAAAAUAAAUCACAUUACAUUAAAAACGUUUUAAAAUUAGAUCAAAUUUACAUACAAAAUCAAUAUCAAAUAUUUGACUUUUUUGAAACAAAUCUGUCACACAUUUUUGCUCAUAACUAGAAAUUUAUAAAACACCUACAAACAUAUUAUAUAUCAUUAGAAUUACCUUAAAAAAUUAGUUACAUACAAUUUAAAACUUAUUCAAAUUAGAUUCAAUUUCCAUACAAUGUUUAGGAUUCAAGAUUUACGAUUACAUGUAUAUUUCUAAAAAAUGGGCAUAUUUUUUUCGAGAUUUUAAUUUGACCUAUCUCCCUCACUCUUUUUCUCAUUUUCAAGCAUUCUAGUUCUAAUGGUAUAAUUAAUUUUUCUUAUGCUUCUUUCAUUUGAUAGAUAUAGAUACUUUGACUUUUAGAUUUGAAAU
RNAcentral lists this long non-coding RNA (556 nucleotides) under Physcomitrium patens. RNAcentral's name for it is "long non-coding RNA (PPAT_LNC000928)". Lineage: Eukaryota; Viridiplantae; Streptophyta; Bryopsida; Funariales; Funariaceae. The record is from RNAcentral.